RNAcentral lists this ribosomal RNA (495 nucleotides) under uncultured bacterium. RNAcentral's name for it is "partial 16S ribosomal RNA". It matches the Rfam family "Bacterial small subunit ribosomal RNA", at positions 28 to 507 of the family's 1533-position model. The record is from RNAcentral.
GACGAACGCUGGCGGCGUGCCUAAUACAUGCAAGUCGAACGCUGAAGGAGGAGCUUGCUUCUCUGGAUGAGUUGCGAACGGGUGAGUAACGCGUAGGUAACCUGCCUGGUAGCGGGGGAUAACUAUUGGAAACGAUAGCUAAUACCGCAUAAUAGCAGUUGUUGCAUGACAACUGUUUGAAAGGUGCAAUUGCACCACUACCAGAUGGACCUGCGUUGUAUUAGCUAGUUGGUGGGGUAACGGCUCACCAAGGCGACGAUACAUAGCCGACCUGAGAGGGUGAUCGGCCACACUGGGACUGAGACACGGCCCAGACUCCUACGGGAGGCAGCAGUAGGGAAUCUUCGGCAAUGGACGGAAGUCUGACCGAGCAACGCCGCGUGAGUGAAGAAGGUUUUCGGAUCGUAAAGCUCUGUUGUAAGAGAAGAACGAGUGUGAGAGUGGAAAGUUCACACUGUGACGGUAUCUGACCAGAAAGGGACGGCUAACUACGUG